Equus asinus (donkey) is the source of this 1630-nucleotide long non-coding RNA. NCBI's taxonomy places the organism in Eukaryota, Metazoa, Chordata, Mammalia, Perissodactyla, Equidae. The record is from Ensembl.
CAAACCCACUGAGUGUAUUCUGGAGGGAAUGGGAAGGGAGAAGCUGCAGACAGCGGGUGCAGACAACUCUUCUGAGAAGUACUACUGCAUGUGGGAGCAGAGAAGUGGAGUCGUAGCUGGACAGGAAGAUUAGCCCUCUGCUAACAUUUGCUGCCAAUCCUCCUCUUUUUGCUGAAGAAGACUGGCCCUGAGCUAACAUCCAUGCCCAUCGUCUUCUACUUUAUAUGUGGGAUGCCUGCCACAGCAUGGCUUGCCAAGCGGUGCCAUGUCCACACCGGGGAUAGGAACUAGCGAACCCCGGGCCGCCAAAGCAGAACGUGUGAAUGUGUGCACUUAACCACUGCGCCACCAGACUGGCCCCUGAUGUCUCACUCUUAAAACAGGACGAAGGGGCAGAUAGGUGUGUAGCUUUGGUGAAAGAAAGGUGAGGGAUUUCCCAUCUGGUUGCUUGGAAGUCAAGGUUGUCUGGUAAGAGACAGGGAAGAGCAGAGGAAGGGAUGGAAGAGUUUCGAGAAGAGUUGAAAAGUAGGAAAUAUUGCAAAGAACAUAGUAGAACCACGAGGGAGUGUUGAGAGCUCACAUGGGGCUUGUGGUCAUGAAUUUUCAUUGCAAAUCUCCCACUUGGUGUAUAAUUUUCCCAGAUAACUUGUACCACCUAGCAGGUGACAGUGCAGAAGGGCUGGAGAAUUGGGUGCCUGGGUUAACCAGGGUUGGAGGGUUCAGUUUGCUAAGAGUAUGUGAACUCCAUAAAGUUAAACUUUAGAUGGGGACAUAAAUGUGCAGGGUGGACUUUGAGACCAUAAAAGCGAGGAUGAAUGUAAAACUGCAGUACCCGUGAUCUAGGUCAGCCCCUGCCUACUGAAAAACAGACGCCACUGCCUCCCACCCUCUCCUAGAGCCACUUCAUUGUAAAGUCAGGUAAAACAAAUACGCUUCACCUUUGUAUGUGCAAAUGAGAUCAAACAAAACAAAAAUCGAAAAGUCGGACAGUUGGACGGAAAAUACAUUUACUUAAAAUGACGAUCGAGGCAACAAAUGCUAAUGCCAGAGAAGUACAGGCUGUGGGUGCAGAAGACAGGGCUUGGUGAGGUCAGAGGACGCCACGGAGAGGGCGGGCAGGAGCCUGGCUUACAUGGCAGGUCAGUAAGAGGAAGAAAGAGGGAAAAUACAUUUCAAUUAAGAUACAAAUUAAGAAAAUGAAAUUAUGGAUAGUGUGUUUAGGAAAAAUUAGGAGACCAAUUGAAAUGAAAAGAAUGCUCUUAGAGAAGAGCUGUGAGAGAUAAGGCUGGCAAAGUUUAGAUGUCUCACACCCACACACACAUUCACAUACACCCUAUACACACACAACAUACACAAAGUACAACAUACACAGCGUACACCCCCCAUACACACAACGUAUACAGCAUACACACCACACACACAACACAGAUCAAACAUACCCCACUCACAAUACACAUGCACAAUACACACACACAACAUAUACAUAAAACACACAACGACGCACAUAAUCCACAAUACACACACCACACACUAUGUACAUAAAAUAAGAGUAAAUACUUAAUUCCUUGAUCCAAAACAAGUUAUAUUACGGACAAAAUUACAUUUGUUUGUUAUAUAACUUAAUUUAUUC